Molecule: long non-coding RNA, 422 nt
Filed under: Ananas comosus (pineapple)
Lineage: Eukaryota; Viridiplantae; Streptophyta; Magnoliopsida; Poales; Bromeliaceae
Description: long non-coding RNA (ACOM_LNC015339)
Source: RNAcentral
GUGGUGGAGUGCUGAUUCUGCAGUUUUCCAGCAACGGCCUUCGGUGUUCUGGCUCGUGUGCGACGUAGGAAGGUCGGAUUGCGGUGAAACUUGGUUUGCUGGAUUCUAGACUUUAAGAGGAAUCCACGAAGUCUAAUUUUGCAAAUUUUGACUGAGGCUAGUAUGGUUGAAUUAAUGUUUUUCUGGACUGCUGGUAAUCUUGAGCUGAAAAUCUGUUUUCUUGGGUUUUCUUGAUGCUAUUCUUGGAAGAAGCUGGAUUUUGGACCUGAGAUUAAUACUCCAUCAUUAUUCACUGGAUUUAGAACUUGCCUCAUCUGAAUCGGAGAUUAUUAGGUGAGUUUUGAUAUUGGAAUUGAGACAAUUAAGCUUAAGUGCUGAAAUUUUGGUGAAUUGACGAAUUUUGAUAGAUUUUGGGUGUAGAU